GGAGGAUGGGGGAGGCGUGUGGAACAGAACAGCUGUCCACCGGCGUUGGAGGCUCGGCCUCUCAUUUUGUUCGCGUAUCUGUCUCAGGCGGUGUUCCCGAAAGCAGACCCUGAGAUGAGAACGCAGGUAGAAGUGACUUAUUAGGGGGAGAUUCUUCAGCGAAUGUCUCCUCCUGGAAACACUGGGAGGAGAGUGGGGAAGCGGGGCGACGCAGUGAGCAGGCAACACCGAGCCCGAGGGCAAGUCCGGCUCCAUCCCGCCGGGGACAGCGCGUGUUCCACUACGGAGUGUCUCCGUCAGGGACAAAGCUGUCCUUGGUCAAGGUGGCCCCAAGAGGAUGCCCUGCACUCGGCAAAGUAGGCUUGGCAACCCGAGACCCGUCUUCAGGUGCCGGAGGUGCUGGGGCACGCAGACAGGCAGCCUUAUCCAACAGUACCAAAAAUCGGGAAAGAAGAACAAAACAAAGAACGGAGAAAAGGCUGGAUAGCUUUGCGGCAACAGAGCUCAGCCCACGCCCCCCCUCUCACCGCAGCCCACGUAUGGGACGGGCCUGCAGGAGGCAAGCCUGUCUGCUGUCCAAACGCCAGGCCGUCCUGUUCUCUGCAGAGGUGAAGACAGCCACGUGGCUGUGCGAAAGCAUCAGAGACACAGGGAACUCUUCUAAGCCCCGUGUCAGUAGGGCUCCCCCGGCCCUGCCGCAUGGAGGUGUGAGGCCUGUGGACCCCCACAUCCACAGUGAGGAGCCGGGUCCCCUGUCCUCCACAGGUGUCUGUGCGUUCUCAGCAUUUACUACCGGGCCCUCCCCCCUCCCCCCUCCCCAGACCCCCCAGACUCUGGGAUCCAGGGUGGUGCUCCAUUCACCCCUGGACAGCCCACAUGCACAGGCUCGGCCCUUUCACUGA
RNAcentral lists this long non-coding RNA (902 nucleotides) under Lynx canadensis (Canada lynx). RNAcentral's name for it is "lncRNA (ENSLCNG00005018566.1)". Lineage: Eukaryota; Metazoa; Chordata; Mammalia; Carnivora; Felidae. The record is from RNAcentral.